CAGCCGCCGCGGUAAUACGUAUGUCACAAGCGUUAUCCGGAUUUAUUGGGCGUAAAGCGCGUCUAGGUGGUUAUGUAAGUCUGAUGUGAAAAUGCAGGGCUCAACUCUGUAUUGCGUUGGAAACUGUGUAACUAGGGUACUGGAGAGGUAAGCGGAACUACAAGUGUAGAGGUGAAAUUCGUAGAUAUUUGUAGGAAUGCCGAUGGGGAAGCCAGCUUACUGGACAGAUACUGACGCUGAAGCGCGAAAGCGUGGGUAGCAAACAGGAUUAGAUACCCCUGUAGUCCCUGUCUCUUAUACA
Molecule: ribosomal RNA, 301 nt
Filed under: uncultured bacterium
Lineage: Bacteria
Description: partial 16S ribosomal RNA
Rfam family: Bacterial small subunit ribosomal RNA
Source: RNAcentral